CGAACGAGGAGGGCACGGACCCCGGCUUGGAAGCUCCAGGAAGCACCGUGCGGACCCCGGGGGCUUCACGACCUGCUUCUCUUCUCCCACCCGGCAUCCACCCGCGCCGGUGGCCCGGAAGGGUUAAAGCCCAGAUGGAGAAACCAAGAGUCUAGGAAAUGAGUAGAUUUGCCUAAGGACACACAAUGGGUAAAGGCACAUGCUGCCAAUAUGAACCACCUGAGAUCCAUCCCUGGGGUCCACACAGUGGAAGGAGAGACCUGACCCUCAAGUUGUCCUCUGAACUCCUGCUGUACAAAUUGUACGAGAUCAAGACAACCUAAAGUAUCCAAUGUUUUUCUCUGUCUCAUAUAAAAUAAGGGCACAGUUUUGGGAGAUGAAUUAAAUACAUGAUGCAUGUUAAAGUAUCUUACACAGUCACUCUUACCAUGGGAAAGUUCCCUGUGAUAACUGUCUUGUUCCUCUUCUCCCAAUAUAAACUUCAAAUCAUGCUGGGAGAUGGGCUUGGGUGUAGGACUGCAAGACUUUCUAGCACAAUGGGGAAAAAUUGGUAUUGUGUAGCCCAGGUUGUCCUUGGAUCCACUAUAGUAUGAAAGGAGACUGUGCCAUCUCCAAAUCUCUCUUCCCAACUUCCUAUAAGAGGAGCAGCAUUUUUUAUAAAGGCUCUCCCUCUUAUACAGGAAAAUCUACCCAGGUGUUUUUUAAUAUCUGACUCUGGAAGUCACUCCAGAAAAAGCAGCCAUAAACAACAAAAAAGAAAGAUGAAUAAAGCUGAAACUUGUUAACAAAAUCCUAGGGGGAUUUGGGGCUAACGUCUGUGACACUGUGAACAGAGAGGGGUUUACAGCAGCUGAAGGUGUCGCAUGUUCUUGCCAAUGGCAACAGCUUGUUAGGGGAGGGACCCUCAGAAGGGGUAGGUGUAGCAACAUCCACAAGGGUAUUAUUAUUCAACUACUAAAAUGGGAGAGGUGUCUAAAUGUGUCCAUUCUUUGUUUUGGUUUUGGUUUCUCGAGACAGGAUUUCUCUGUGUAGUCCUGGCUGUCCUGAAACUUGCUCUGUAGACCAGCCUGGCCUUGAACUCACAGAGAUCCACCUGUCUGUGCCUAAUCCUAGUGCUGGGAUUAAAGGUGUGCACCACCACCACCUGGCUAAAUGUGUCCAUUCUUAAAGGGUCAAGGUAUACUAUAUAUUAUGUGGUAUAAUUGAGGAUGUAAGAUAUCAAAAUGUCUUUUGAUACAUGAGAGACUUUAUAAAUGCCAGUAAUAGGGUUUGGUUAAUGCUCCAGUGAAACAGUUUAAGCACUAACUGGCAAGUAUUGUGUUAAUAGCUAUGAGCAUGACCAUCGUUUCUUGUUCUUCUGUUAGAGAGAGAGAGGUAGGAAUCAAUAAGAACAAAUGGGCUCUCUAAAAAGGGCUUGGGGAGAUGGCUCAAUGGUUAAAGCUCUUGCCUGUGCCAUGUGAGGGCCAGCAUUCAGAUCUUCAGGACCCACAUGAAGUCUCACAUGGUAGCCCACAUUUGUAAUCACAGUGCUGGUAUAGCCAGAUAGGAAGGAGAGACAAAUGAAUGUCUGGAAACUCACGGACCGGUGUAAGAGUUAGCCAGUAAGAACUAGUUAAUAAUAAGCCAGAACUAUUGGCCAAGCAUUUAUAAUUUUGAU
Peromyscus maniculatus bairdii (prairie deer mouse) is the source of this 1657-nucleotide non-coding RNA. The record is from RefSeq and is a predicted model, not a curated record. Lineage: Eukaryota; Metazoa; Chordata; Mammalia; Rodentia; Cricetidae.